AGAGUUUGAUCCUGGCUCAGGACGAACGCUGGCGGCGUGCCUAAUACAUGCAAGUCGAGCGAGCUUGCCUAGAUGAUUUUAGUGCUUGCACUAAAUGAAACUAGAUACAAGCGAGCGGCGGACGGGUGAGUAACACGUGGGUAACCUGCCCAAGAGACUGGGAUAACACCUGGAAACAGAUGCUAAUACCGGAUAACAACACUAGACGCAUGUCUAGAGUUUGAAAGAUGGUUCUGCUAUCACUCUUGGAUGGACCUGCGGUGCAUUAGCUAGUUGGUAAGGUAACGGCUUACCAAGGCAAUGAUGCAUAGCCGAGUUGAGAGACUGAUCGGCCACAUUGGGACUGAGACACGGCCCAAACUCCUACGGGAGGCAGCAGUAGGGAAUCUUCCACAAUGGACGAAAGUCUGAUGGAGCAACGCCGCGUGAGUGAAGAAGGGUUUCGGCUCGUAAAGCUCUGUUGGUAGUGAAGAAAGAUAGAGGUAGUAACUGGCCUUUAUUUGACGGUAAUUACUUAGAAAGUCACGGCUAACUACGUGCCAGCAGCCGCGGUAAUACGUAGGUGGCAAGCGUUGUCCGGAUUUAUUGGGCGUAAAGCGAGUGCAGGCGGUUCAAUAAGUCUGAUGUGAAAGCCUUCGGCUCAACCGGAGAAUUGCAUCAGAAACUGUUGAACUUGAGUGCAGAAGAGGAGAGUGGAACUCCAUGUGUAGCGGUGGAAUGCGUAGAUAUAUGGAAGAACACCAGUGGCGAAGGCGGCUCUCUGGUCUGCAACUGACGCUGAGGCUCGAAAGCAUGGGUAGCGAACAGGAUUAGAUACCCUGGUAGUCCAUGCCGUAAA
RNAcentral lists this ribosomal RNA (838 nucleotides) under uncultured bacterium. Its description in RNAcentral is "bacterial SSU rRNA". It matches the Rfam family "Bacterial small subunit ribosomal RNA", at positions 8 to 806 of the family's 1533-position model. The record is from RNAcentral.